CGUACAUCCAGAGAAUUUAGCAGAGGAUGCUUUAGUGCCUUCGGGAACUCUGAGACAGGUGCUGCAUGGCUGUCGUCAGCUCGUGUUGUGAAAUGUUGGGUUAAGUCCCGCAACGAGCGCAACCCUUAUCCUUUGUUGCCAGCACGUAAUGGUGGGAACUCAAAGGAGACUGCCGGUGAUAAACCGGAGGAAGGUGGGGAUGACGUCAAGUCAUCAUGGCCCUUACGAGUAGGGCUACACACGUGCUACAAUGGCGCAUACAAAGAGAAGCGACCUCGCGAGAGCAAGCGGACCUCAUAAAGUGCGUCGUAGUCCGGAUUGGAGUCUGCAACUCGACUCCAUGAAGUCGGAAUCGCUAGUAAUCGUAAAUCAGAAUGUUACGGUGAAUACGUUCCCGGGCCUUGUACACACCGCCCGUCACACCAUGGGAGUGGGUUGCAAAAGAAGUAGAUAGCUUAACCUUCGGGAGGGCGUUUACCACUUUGUGAUUCAUGACUGGGGUGAAGUCGUAACAAGGUAGGCGUAGUGCU
This 530-nucleotide ribosomal RNA is filed under the name uncultured bacterium. RNAcentral's name for it is "bacterial SSU rRNA". It matches the Rfam family "Bacterial small subunit ribosomal RNA", at positions 981 to 1509 of the family's 1533-position model. The record is from RNAcentral.